Priapulus caudatus is the source of this 737-nucleotide long non-coding RNA. RefSeq lists it as uncharacterized. Lineage: Eukaryota; Metazoa; Priapulida; Priapulimorpha; Priapulimorphida; Priapulidae. The record is from RefSeq and is a predicted model, not a curated record. The transcript is spliced from 3 exons.
AUAUGUUGUCAUGCCUAAAUUUAUACGUGGAUUAAAACGUGCAUAUUUGGACAUAGAUUGUAUGACGAGACAGCGAAAACUAUGUGCAGUGUGUGGCAAUCGGAUGACAUUACGCGUGGAUGGUUUUGCUACGGAUUUAAUCGAGAGACUGCGAUGUGUGUGUGUGUGUGUGUGUGUGUGUGUGUGUGUGUGUGUGCGUAACAUGCGGCGGGCGUAGGACACGGACAUACAUCAUUACAUGGUUGAAAAAUAUACAUUUGUCGUGGUUCGAACAGCGAGAGCGUGGACUUGUCGUGUUCGUGCGAGUUUCUCUCUACAGUACAUGGCUAGAUUUGGGAUGGAUUCGGUCAAGUGAAUGAGGCUGAAAAGUGCAUGAGAACCUUGCGGACAAUGCUGUCAAAAAUAUUGGCCACAAAACAGCCUAGUGGAAGCCGACGUACAAAUAUGACAGCUAAAAGACAGUGGGUGGUGGAACACCUCCACUUUCUAAAGCUGCAUAUGACAACAUCAAAAGCGGCAACAUCAACAUAUCAAGUACCGCGGCUCCAUCCGUUCCGGUGGCCACAAGCUUUGACUUCCAUGCCUCCCCAAACCUUUCGCUCAUCAGGCCUGUGAUUGCUCGGCUGAUAGUGUUGGCAUCUCCACGCGGCACAUUUUUGAUCCCAACUAAGUAUGUGGACAUCUACAGAACGUGGGAGAUCACAAUGUAUUCAUAUCAAUUAAUAAGCCAGUUCGUA